UACGUAGGGGGCUAGCGUUGUCCGGAAUCAUUGGGCGUAAAGAGCGCGUAGGCGGCUAGAUAAGUCCGGUGUGAAAGUCACAGGCUCAACCUGUGAAUGCCGCUGGAAACUGUCUGGCUAGAGUCCGGAAGGGGCGAGUGGAAUUCCUGGUGUAGCGGUGAAUGCGCAGAUAUCAGGAGGAACACCAAUGGCGAAGGCAGCUCGCUGGGACGGUACUGACGCUGAGGUGCGAAAGGCUGGGGAGCAAACAGG
This 252-nucleotide ribosomal RNA is filed under the name uncultured bacterium. RNAcentral's name for it is "partial 16S ribosomal RNA". It matches the Rfam family "Bacterial small subunit ribosomal RNA", at positions 524 to 776 of the family's 1533-position model. The record is from RNAcentral.